Molecule: long non-coding RNA, 1280 nt
Filed under: Homo sapiens (human)
Lineage: Eukaryota; Metazoa; Chordata; Mammalia; Primates; Hominidae
Description: HSALNT0243251
Source: RNAcentral
CUCAGCUGAGAAGCCUGUGCUGAGCCAGCCCUUAGCUGGCCGGACAACCCCCAUUGGCAGAGACACCCAAUUAGGGAGAUUCUGUUUCUGGCUCCUUGGAGGUGACCAUUUUCAUUUCAGGUGAAGGGCCACGGUAAAUGAAGGGCAGGGUGCAGGAGGGCCUCACACUGUGGAGAAAGGACAUUUUUAGCAAUUUCUGUCAAUGCCAUGCAUUUCUCAGAGAGUUCAGACUUUAGCCGUCUGGUAGACUCCCCAUCGUCAGGUAGCUGGAAGUAAGACAGAUCCCCGAAUCUGGCCCAGGAUAUGCCCCGGAGAAACAGGACUGCCCCUGGAUGCACAAUAGCCCUCACUCUGCAGCAGCCACCAAACAGCCUUCACACGUGCUGCUUCAGCUCGUUCUCACCAACCCCAGCAGCUGACAACAGAGUCAACCUCUUCGAGGCAGGAGCAUUCUGGCAUUUCGCACAGAGAAAACAGAACACAAUUUGCCCUCGGGCCCAGUUGAUGAUUCCUGGACCGUGGGGUCGAUAUCCAGGGCUGGCAUCUCCACGGUUCUUUUAUCUCAGUCUCCACUAUAAACACCAGGCCCCAUGAGAGCUGCUGGGCUGAGGCUCAUUUAAAGAAGCUUCCUGCGGAAUGAUGAGGGAAAAGGCAGGUCCGUAAAUCCCCGCCUGCGCCCGCCGAGGAUUCCAAGCGCAUGAGCAGCUCCAGGCUCCAGCUUGCUGUCCCCCUUGCCCUCCUUCUUGCAUUAGCAGGCACUUCCUCUAAGGCUGCUGCCCUGGGAGGGUUUCUUGCAAACCCACUAGAUCUGAGGAAAGACAGAGAAAACAUCUACUUAAGGCUGCCCAGAUGACAGCAUGUGUCUAAAAAUAUAUGUCUCCUAGUUUUCGAGUGAUCGAAGGCCCCACAGCCUUCAGCACUGGAGUCAUUUAGAGGUCAUGGUGAAAGGACUGGCUCCCUCCUUGCCUCCAUUUAAGCAGAAGCUGCGAGAAAGCCCCCAAAGCCUUGGGUCAUGUCUCCAACAGGCUCGGAUGCACAAAUCUGUUUUCAAGCCUGGAAAAUGAAGCAAAUGUGUGGUUUUCAGCUACUGUUGCAGUUCAGGGGCCUUUGUAGCAAAUGAUACUCCCCUAGACUAAGGAUCCGAAAUACAAAUGUCUAUAGAAAGGCCACGCAGAUAUCGUACUUGGAUGGAGGCAGCCAGAGGUAAGGCUGUUGGGAGUGGUGGGGACUGUGGUAAACAGGAGAGUACUCACUCCAUCUAAGGAAGCAGAAACAACCAG